CCAUAAUGAGCAACCCACCAUGCCUCGUUCUCGGCAGGAUGCACCGAGUGAGGCACGAACUCCAUCUUCGGAACGACGAGCUCUUCAUAAGGACUCGCGGAUGAAGACCCUUUUUUGCAAUCUUUUUCUUGCUCGACAUCUUUACACUUCUCUUGAGAGAAUAGAGGAAAAGGGUAGAGAGAAAGAUAGAAAGUUUUUUUUUUUUUAAGAAAGAUCUUAGAGAAAGACAAGAAAGUGAAAAAAUUAUGGAACAAGUUACCUCC
Molecule: long non-coding RNA, 263 nt
Filed under: Brassica rapa (field mustard)
Lineage: Eukaryota; Viridiplantae; Streptophyta; Magnoliopsida; Brassicales; Brassicaceae
Description: long non-coding RNA (BRAP_LNC008648)
Source: RNAcentral